Molecule: non-coding RNA, 29 nt
Filed under: Mus musculus (house mouse)
Lineage: Eukaryota; Metazoa; Chordata; Mammalia; Rodentia; Muridae
Source: RNAcentral
UACUACCUUGUAGAGCUGUAAAGUGUCCC